Long non-coding RNA from Suricata suricatta (meerkat), 492 nucleotides. RefSeq lists it as uncharacterized. Lineage: Eukaryota; Metazoa; Chordata; Mammalia; Carnivora; Herpestidae. The record is from RefSeq and is a predicted model, not a curated record. The transcript is spliced from 3 exons.
ACAUGUCAGUUUCAUCGACUCAAAACAAAUCAAUUAUACACCAGGCAGGAUUCCAGGGGAUAUACUAGUGAAUGAAGUGAAGUUCCUGACCCCAAGAAGCUUGCUGCCCCAGCAGUCAAGGCAGCAUAAAGUGAGAGAGAUGGAAAUCAUUUGCAGGCCACAUUUUGCCAACAGCUGAAAAAUUCAACACGACAUGACUUGCACGUCGAAGCUGCUAGUGUUCAAAACCUGAUUUCCGUGCCAGACCUGCAUUACAGUAAGAAGGCUCUCCCUGUCAUCUACCAGGAACAGCCCUCUCCUCCCCGACAGUCAUUUCUCCCAGUAAACCCACUGCGUGUCCAAGCUCAUCCCCCGGCAUCUGCUACCUAGAGGAUCCACACUGACAUCGUUUCUAAUCCCAAUCAUUUUAUUUUACUUCUUUAUAGAAGGACUAUAUUAUUAGUUCAUUUUACCUUUGUCUUUCUGAACCUAAAAACACAGAAAAGAAAAAAA